UGGACAUUCUGACAUGUCUAUUCAUGGACCAGGUUUCUUUAACACUCUCAUUUCUCUCCAGACUUCUCAUUUCUAAAUUCUUAUGUGGAGGCUCUUGCCAAUGUGCAGUAAAUGAACUGAAUUUCAAACGGCUCCUAGGACAUGGAAGCAUACUGAAUUCAGAAAUGUACUACACGCUCUUGCUCCUGCUUCCUCUUGCUUUCUCUUGUCCCUUUGUCCCUUCUCUCCCCAUUCCCUUCUCCCUCUCUCCAGGUGCUCAUGGCCGGCCUCUACUCUUCUAUUUCUCUGCUCUCUUUCUCUGCCCUACUACCCUCUUAACUCCCCUCCCCCUGCCCUGAAUAAACUCUAUUCUGUACUAAAAAAAAAAAAAAAAA
This 374-nucleotide long non-coding RNA is filed under the name Rattus norvegicus (Norway rat). RNAcentral's name for it is "long non-coding RNA NONRATT001073". The record is from RNAcentral. Lineage: Eukaryota; Metazoa; Chordata; Mammalia; Rodentia; Muridae.